RNAcentral lists this long non-coding RNA (2952 nucleotides) under Citrus x clementina. Its description in RNAcentral is "Citrus clementina (C. clementina) long non-coding RNA (CCLE_LNC006744)". The record is from RNAcentral. Lineage: Eukaryota; Viridiplantae; Streptophyta; Magnoliopsida; Sapindales; Rutaceae.
AAAACAUAAUUCAUUGUAACACUUUACGUGGAAUAUACAACUUAUCACGUAAAGUUGGCAACAUGGACAUCAAAUAUGAAACGGGUGAGAAUAUUUGAGAAUUUUGGCUUUAUCCAAAACAUGCAACAUCGUACGUCAAACGUGAAAUCCUACCGUAAGACAUGCAACAACUGACGUUAAACAUGAAACUUGCAACUCUUCACGUGAAAUAUACGACUUAUCACGUUAAGUUCGCAACAUGGACGUCAAACAUGAAACGGACGAGAAUAUUCGAGAAUUUUGGCUUCAUCCAAAACAUGCAACAUCAUACAUCAAACAUGAAAUCCUACCGCCAGACAUGUAAUAACUGACGUUAAACAUGAAACUUGCAACACUUCACGUGAAAUAUAUGACUUAUCACGUCAAGUUUGCAACAUGGACGUCAAACAUGAAACGAUCGAGAAUAUUCUUUAUUUUGGCUUUAUUCAAGACAUGCAACCGUUACGUCUGACAUGCAAUCAUUACAUCUGACAUGCAACAACUAACGUUAAACAUGAAACUUGCAACACUUCACACGAAAUAUGCAACUUAUCACGUAAAGUUCGUAACUUCAACCUCAAACAUGAAACGGACGAGAAUAUUCCAGAAUAUUCUUUAUUUUGGCUUUAUUCAACACAUGCAACAUCUUACGUCAAACAUGAUAUCCAAUCGUCGAAUAUGCAACAACUGACUUUAAACAUGAAACUUGCAACACUUCAUGCGAAAUAUGCAACUUAUCACGUAAAGUUCGCAACUUCGACGUGAAAUAUGAAACAGACGAGAAUAUUCUGGAAUAUUCUUUAUUUUGGCUUUAUUCAACACAUGCAACAUCUUACGUCAAACAUGAAAUCCAACCGUCGAAUAUGCAACAACUGACGUUAAACAUGAAACUUGCAACAUUUCACGCGAACUAUGCAACUUAUCACGUAAAUUUCACAACUUCGACGUCAAAUAUGAAACAGACAAGAAUAUUCCGGAAUAUUCUUUAUUUUGGUUUUAUUUAACACAUGCAACAUCUUAUAUCAAAGAUGCAAUCGAGACGUCAGACAUGCAACAACUGACGUUAGACUUGAAAUACUAUUUUUUUCAUUUUCAAUUUCUGUAUUUUUUGCCAUUUUAUUUAAUUAUAUUAUAUUGUAUUAUAGGGUUUCUAUUAUAUUAUUUAAUUUCUUUAUCUUUUGCUAUUAAUUAUAUUAUAAAAAAUUAUUUUUGACAUUUUAUUUAUUUUUAUAUUGUAUUUUUAAUAUAUUUUUUUUAAAAAAUAUGGUGCAACCGGUUUAUUAACCGGCUGCACCAACAGCCAGGCUCUCCUUUUGAGAGCCCGGCAUGGUGCCGGGUACAAUGCCAACGGCAUUGUAGCCAAACCCGGCAAAGAAUGAUGAGCCUGGUGGUCAAAGAGAGGUUGACAAGGAGGGUCGGCCUGUAAUACAGCUCUGUAUGUCAUGCAGCUGCCUUUAUUAUUUUUUAUUAUUGCAGAUGUAACCGACCAUCGAUAUCAAUUAUGAAACAGGUAAAUAUUAAAGGUAAUUAUCAUACAGCUACCCUCAUUUCAAAUAAAUAUCAAAAUAAUCAGUUCAAAGUAGAACACUACCAAAGAACCCCUCAAUUUAACUUGAAAAUACACUACUUUCUUUUUUUUUUUUCUCCGAAUAACAUGAAAACACACGUAAAACAUAUGAGACUUCUAUACUAAUUAGAAUAAUAUUUAAAUAUAAAUUAAUAAAUUGACCAAUUAAUUUUUAAUAUUACAUUAUAAAGUUAAGAAUGUUUUACAUAAAAAAAAUUAUCAUAAUAUUUUAUCAAUUUUUAGAUAAUACAAUGUAGUAUAAAUAUUUAGACCUAUAAUAUUUCUAUAUUAGACAAGUAUAAAAAAUCUAAUGUUUGAUAUUUUUAAAUAAUACUAAAAAAAAAUCUCUUGUGUAAAUUAAUUCAUAGAAAUUAAUGUGAAAUUAAUUACUUUAUUCAUUAUAUUAUGUAUUACUUUUAUGAUUUUAUUUAUUCACUAUUUUUAAGUCACAAUAAUUUCUACAAAUACUUGUAAUGGACAAUUAAGUACGUGUUGUUAAUUUUUAAUCUAUUUUUAUUAGUGUUAUUGUGAUUAAUGAUAUCAUAAUUCAUACACUAAGCCUUUUUCCUUUUUUAAUGUUGUUAAUAACUCCAAUGGGCCUUUAGCCUAGCGGUGAAUCUCUACCCUCACAGUUAAGCAAGAUUGUGAGGGUGGGGGUUUGAGUUCUCAUGGACUCAAACUCUCUGAAUUAAACAUUAUGCAUUAUCGUGUGGAGUUAUUUGCAAGUCUUUUUCCCUUGCGAAAUGUGAGUGGAGCAAAGAUAUCCCUCGUUUGUGAUAAUUUGAUGUGUAAUCAGUAUUAAAAAAAAGUUGUUAAUAACUAUCAUGGCUAGCACUUGGUCAAUAUUAAUUCGAUUAAACUAAAUUCAGUUAUGACAUUAUUAUUUUUUUAGUAAUAUUGUUAAUUUAAUAUUAUUAUUUUAGGGGUAUGGUUGGGAGAGGACAAAUAUAACUUUUUAACUCUUACAAUCUCUCAUGAGUUUUACUCGGUAGCAAUAAAUGAAGAAACCAUCCAACCGUCCCCUUGGAGCUGAGUAAUAUUGUUAAUUAUAAUUACAAUUCUUAUUCACAUUGCAUUGUAAAUAUUAGAAAAAGAGAUAACAACGAGCCCGUGUUUUGUGAAAUUGUCUCGAAGACCCUUAUUAUUUUAAAAAAUAAUCACAUAUUCCUCUUUUUAGACAAUUAUGUCCUUUAGCUAAAGUGACCCACCGAUAUUCCAUAUGAACAUAAUUAUUCAAAACAAGAUUUAUAUAAAAGUUUCACUAAAUCAUGAGGUAUCAUUAUACUUUUUGUCAUAACCUUGGGUAAUUACAAUCUAAAUACUACUAAUAUUGAAUAAUUUAGAAACGUUUUUAAAUUAAAUCAAAU